GCUAGACUGGUGACUGGGAGCGGACGCCGAGACCAUAUAACACCGGUCUUGAAAGACCUACAUUGGCUCCCAGUACGUUUCCGAGCACAAUUCAAAGUGUUGGUGUUGACCUUUAAAGCCCUAAAUGGCCUCAGCCCAGUAUGCUUGAAGGAGUGUCUCCACCUCCAUCGUUUUGCCAGGACACUGAGGUCCAGCUCUGAGGCCCUUCUGGCGGUUCCCUCACUGCGAGAAGCUAAGCUACAGGGAACCAGACAGAGGGCCUUCUCGGUAGUGGCGCCCACCCUGUGGAACGCCUUCCUAUCAGAUGUCAAAGAGAUAAACAACUACCUGACAUUUAGAAGACAUCUGAAGGCAGCCCUGUUCAGGGAAGUUUUUAAUGUGUGACAUUUUAAUGUAUUUUUAAUCUUUGUUGGAAGCCGCCCAGAGUGGCUGGGAAAGCCAGCCAGAUGGGCGGGGUACAAAUAACAAAUUACUAUUACUAUUACCCGCACUUUGAGAACUGCCUACUUAGAAGGUGGGCUGCGUAUUUUACUUGAAAAAUUUUCUUCCAGAAGGGCUAUUGCAUCACUAUAAUACAUCCCAGGUUUCUAAAGAUACUUCAACAGGGAGUAUUUUUCCUCUCCUUACAGUAUAGCAAUCCCAUAACAAAAAAAUGUCUUGGUUAAUUAGGACAGGCAGAAAAUGGCAGAAGAGCGAAGGAGUUCCUUUCGACUUCCUGGAGGCUUCCUUGGAGUGCAGAAGAAAAAGGAAGACUCGGCUGGCCCUGAAGCAGGAAGAGGCUACGAUGCCAUCAAGACUGAGAGCCGUGGGAGAUUCUGGGAAAAGUCAGUGCAGAAAGUCCCGAGUGAGAAAAUCACUCUCGGCUCAAAUGUGCAGAGCCAGCAGUUCAGGCAGUUCUGCUACCAGGAGGCCAAAGGACCCCGAGAGGUUUGUAGCCAACUCCACCAUCUUUGCUGUCAGUGGCUGAAGCCAGAUCGACACACAAAGAAGGAGAUCCUAGACCUGGUGAUUCUGGAGCAGUUCCUGGCUGUCCUUCCACCGGAGAUGGAGAGCUGGGUGAGAGGCUGUGGAGCAGACACUUGUUCCCAGGCUGUGGCCCUGGCUGAAGGUUUCCUCCUGAGCCAGGCAGACAAGAAGCAGGAGGAGGCACAGGUGAGUGUUCCAUCUAGAUAGUCCCCAGGGGGUUCAGAACAUGAGGGAGGGUAUCUUAAAACUCUGCUAUUUGCCCAACUUUUUCAGUAAAGCAUCCAAGGAAAGAUGGCCAGAUCCCAUUAGGACAUGGGUAGGCACCUAAGGCCCAGGGGCCGGAUCCGGCCCAAUCACCUUCUAAAUCCGGCCCACAGACGGUUCGGGAAUCAGUGUGCUUUUACAUGAGUAGAAUAUGUCCUUUUAUUUAAAAUGCAUCCCUGGGUUAUUUGUGAGGCAUAGGAAUUUCUUCAUCCCCCCCCCAAAAAAAAAAUAAAGUCUGCCCCCCCACAAGAUCUGAGGGACAGUGGACCAGCCCCCUGCUGAAAAAGUUUGCUGACCUCUGCAUUAGGAUUUUGCUCCUGUCAUUCCUUCUCCCCAUUCCUUGUUUUGAUUCUUCAUUACUGUUUCAGAGACGGAAUCAGUUUGCGGAAAGGAGCACGGUUUUUCCUAAGAUGGUUCCAUUUGGUACCAAACAGAGUCCACUUGGUAAGGAUGAAUGGGAUGUAUAUCAGUUCGGUCUCCCUCUGUUGAGUGCAAAAUAAACCUAGGAGCUGCUUUAAUAUUUGGAACAAAAGACACCUCUCUAGCUUUUUCCACUGCUUAAACAUGCAUUUAUUUCCAAUACACUUUUUGAGUUGAGAACAAAAGCCCAAAGAAGUAGAAAUGUGUUUUCACACAACUGAAAUACUAACACGUAUACACACAUUUCUUUAUAAACACUAAAAAAUAAAACUUUUUCCAAGGCCUGUGUGUACUUAGGCAUGCAUUCGUUAAUCUCAGAGACCAUCAAGUGCUACUGGCUUCCCACUAACUUUGUCUCUCACAGUUGACAGGAUGAUGCCUGCAAGACCUCCUCAGCCAUCUCUUCUUCACAAUGGAAGGGAAGCAGCUUCUGUGGCACGGCAUCAGGUAUGGGGAGCAAAUCAGUACGGGGAGAGCGUUGGGGAAAACCAGGAUGCCUCUGUCCCCCGCUCCUUACCUCCCUAGACCUGAAUUAAUUGUUUUUUCUUAGUAGCUGUAGUAUUGCUUAUGAAUUUAAACAACGCUUAAUGCUAACAUAGGCUUCUAAACAGCUGACAACGUAGGAAAAGUGUUUACAGAAAGAAUAAGCUUGAAACAGCGAUCAUUAAAACACGCAAUGAAACACGCCUUAAAACACCCAUAAUUAAAAUGCUCAGCACGAUAAUGGCAUUAAAAAACACAGCAAUUAAUAGACAAUGAACAACAGUAAUGAGCAGCAGGUAAUCCAUAUGCUUUCUCUGAGGUGGAAACAUUUCCUUUUUCUUUUAGAGUCCAGCAACCUUUGAGGAUGUGGCUAUACAUUUCACGGAUGAGGAGUGGGUAUUGCUGGAUCCCGACCAGAGAGCUCUGCAUACGGAAGUCAUGGAAGAGACCUGUGGCAUCAUGGUCUCUCUCGGUAAGUCUUUCUGUUGGGUCACAAGAACUGUUUUGAAAAUCGGAUGUGUGAUGAACCAAUGGUAUUGUGAUGGAAUUCAACCACGCCCCCUACAGCGCAGGUGGCGCUGUGUUCUAAACCACUGAGCCUCUUGGGCUUGCUGAUCAGAAGGUCAACAGUUCGAAUCCCCGCAACGGGGUGAGCUCCUGUUGCUCUGUCCCAGCUCCUGCCAACCUAGCAGUUUGAAAGCAUGCCAGUGCAAGUAGAUAAAUAGGUACCGCUGCUGUGGGAAGGUAAGCAGCAUUUCUGUGCGCUCUGGUUUCCAUCACUGCGGACAAACGCCAACUCCCUCGGCCUGCAAGUGGAGAUGAGCGCCACAACCCCAUAGUUGCCUUUGGCUGGACUUAAUCGUACGGGGGCCCAUUACCUUUAUUCUAAUGCCCCUGCAGUUAACCUGGAAUGGAAAAUGAUCAACCGUUUUGUUUCUGAAUAUGAUGAUGAUGAUGAUGAUAAUUUAUUACUUGUACCCCACCCAUCUGACUAGGUUUCCCCAGCCACUUCCUACAUAAUAUAAAGCAGACACGUACCACAGGUCAAUUGCAAUUGACUGGUCGAUUAUGGGGGCGUUCAGGGUCGAUCUUGGUAUUUAGUAAAGUGAUCGCCUGGAUGGUCCUUAUCGAUCUCCUAAAGCUCAACAAUUCCUGGCAAUGUGCAAUUAGGCAAAUCUCCAGGACCGGAUGGGCUGACUUCUAGAUAUUAUAGAUCCUUGAAAGAGUGGUUAGUACAACCUUUAAAGGAAGUCUGCAAUGAAAUAUUGGAAGGGAAAAGGGCACCAGAGUCGUGGA
This 3429-nucleotide long non-coding RNA is filed under the name Podarcis lilfordi (Lilford's wall lizard). The record is from RNAcentral. Lineage: Eukaryota; Metazoa; Chordata; Lepidosauria; Squamata; Lacertidae.